Molecule: long non-coding RNA, 1023 nt
Organism: Syngnathoides biaculeatus (alligator pipefish)
Lineage: Eukaryota; Metazoa; Chordata; Actinopteri; Syngnathiformes; Syngnathidae
Exons: 3
Source: RefSeq, a predicted model, not a curated record
CGGGCGUGAGUUGCCGGCGCCGGCGUCUCCGGAAUGAAUGCGCUCAUGGCGGUGAAGCCACCGAAGAGCGUCAGCGGCUGUGUCACGCUUAACCGGACACCAGGAAUGCAGAUCAGUUGACAGCUUUCAACUCUGAAUUUUUGCCAGCUCACGCGAGCUCCUCGAGACUCAGCGACUCGCUUCCUCGGCGUCACAGCGGCAGUGGAGCUCGUAGUCCAGCAGGCGGCCCAGUCGGGUCCCGGCCAGAUGUUGUCCGAACAUCUGGUCCAUCCUGAGGCUCUGCUCCUCGCUGAAGUGGUUCCUCCAGUCUCCGACCUCACCUGGAACAAUUGCAGGAGGCCCCAUGAGCAUAAAAGUUGCAUCCCACAUUGAAAACUCCAGAGGAACUAAAGACGGAAUGAAAUGUUCUACAAUCACAUUUGAAGAUGAAAAUUGAGAGGAUUAUUUGAAAUGUUUAUGCAUAAUACUGAUCCAAAAUAUGACUAUGAGGUGCAGGUAUUGUUGUUGUUCGGCCGGUGUGACGGUCUGAGCGCUCCCCCGUGCUGAAAAAGUCUCCUUGUGAUUAAUGCGGAUGCGUUACUAACAGGGGAACUCUGAGUACGUAGCAGAUGCUUAUUGGGAAAUCCCCCGGUCUCAUAGUUCCCCUUCUAAGCUAACAUACGUUAUAACCUAACCUUAAAACAAAAGUUGAUAAAAAGAGAUACACAUAUAUGUACGUUUGCUGUGUUCGUCUUUCCGAGACGUCCGUAGCGAACACGGACGCUCGGCGACAAGUUGUCGAAUGGCACAUGUUGAAGCGUGGAUGGGGAGGUUUCAAACCGGCCGGAAGUUUACAAAAUAUACGCGCAUUCGCGUUACUCACAAGGAGACUUUUCAGCACGGGGGACCGCUCAGACCGUCACAUUCUACAUUGUACUAUCUGUGACUUUGAAUGUUUGUGGCUUUAAAAGGGUGGGGCCUGACCUGGCGAGUGACGUGCGACCAAGAGAAUGAGAGUGUAAUGUAAUUGUUAGAUGGUUACAA